This 483-nucleotide ribosomal RNA is filed under the name uncultured bacterium. Its description in RNAcentral is "bacterial SSU rRNA". It matches the Rfam family "Bacterial small subunit ribosomal RNA", at positions 28 to 507 of the family's 1533-position model. The record is from RNAcentral.
GACGAACGCUGGCGGCGUGCCUAACACAUGCAAGUCGAGCGGAGUCGAUCGACGGAAGCCUUCGGGCGGAAGAUGGUUGACUUAGCGGCGGAUGGGUGAGUAACGCGUGGGCAACCUGCCUCGAAGACCGGGAUAACAGCCCGAAAGGGCUGCUAAUACCGGAUGUGGUCAAGGAUCCGCAUGGAUUUUGAUUAAAGGGGAAACCCGUUUCGAGAUGGGCCCGCGUCCUAUCAGCUAGUUGGUGAGGUAAAAGCUCACCAAGGCGACGACGGGUAGCCGGCCUGAGAGGGUGACCGGCCACACUGGAACUGAGACACGGUCCAGACUCCGUACGGGGGGCAGCAGUGGGGAAUCUUCCACAAUGGGCGAAAGCCUGAUGGAGCGACGCCGCGUGAGCGAAGAAGGCCUUCGGGUUGUAAAGCUCUGUCUGGAGGGACGAAGGAAGUGACGGUACCUCCGGAGGAAGCCACGGCUAACUACGUG